RNAcentral lists this transfer RNA (69 nucleotides) under Ictidomys tridecemlineatus (thirteen-lined ground squirrel). RNAcentral's name for it is "Spermophilus tridecemlineatus (thirteen-lined ground squirrel) tRNA". It matches the Rfam family "tRNA". Rfam says of the family: Transfer RNA (tRNA) molecules are approximately 80 nucleotides in length. The record is from Rfam by way of RNAcentral. RNAcentral also lists the same sequence under 1 other name. Lineage: Eukaryota; Metazoa; Chordata; Mammalia; Rodentia; Sciuridae.
GGGGUUGUGGCUCAGUGGUAGAGCACUUGCCUGGCAUGUGUGAGGCCCUAGGUUCAAUCCUUAGCACCA